RNAcentral lists this ribosomal RNA (443 nucleotides) under uncultured bacterium. RNAcentral's name for it is "partial 16S ribosomal RNA". It matches the Rfam family "Bacterial small subunit ribosomal RNA", at positions 338 to 795 of the family's 1533-position model. The record is from RNAcentral.
CCUACGGGUGGCAGCAGUGGGGAAUAUUGCACAAUGGGGGAAACCCUGAUGCAGCGACGCCGCGUGAGUGAAGAAGUAAUUCGUUACGUAAAGCUCUAUCAGCAGGGAAGAAAGAAAUGACGGUACCUGAGUAAGAAGCCCCGGCUAACUACGUGCCAGCAGCCGCGGUAAUACGGAGGGGGCAAGCGUUAUCCGGAAUUACUGGGUGUAAAGGGAGCGUAGACGGUAAUGCAAGUCUGGAGUGAAAGGCGGGGGCCCAACCCCCGGACUGCUCUGGAAACUGGGUAACUGGAGUGCAGGAGAGGCAGGCGGAAUGCCUGGUGUAGCGGUGAAAUGCGUAGAUAUUAGGAGGAACACCAGUGGCGAAGGCGGCCUGCUGGACUGUAACUGACGUUGAGGCUCGAAAGCGUGGGGAGCAAACAGGAUUAGAUACCCUUGUAGUC